Molecule: ribosomal RNA, 309 nt
Filed under: Triticum aestivum (bread wheat)
Lineage: Eukaryota; Viridiplantae; Streptophyta; Magnoliopsida; Poales; Poaceae
Description: partial small subunit ribosomal RNA
Source: RNAcentral
AUGACUAGGCCUAAAGGUGAGGGUGGUAUGGGAUUCCGGGACCUCAGAUUAUUUAACCAGGCUCUAUUAGCUAAACAGGCCUGGAGGUUAGUGGUUAAUCCUGAUUCUCUUUGUGCCAAAGUGAUUAAGGCAAAAUAUUAUCCCCAUGGACAUAUCCUUGAUACGGUUUUCCCGCAGUCAGCAUCUCUUACUUGGCAAGGUAUUCUACAUGUUUGGAUCUGCUUAAAUCCGGAGUCAUUUGGAGAGUGUGUGAUGGGGCUAAUAUUAAUAUCUGGAGAGAUAACUGGCUCCCAAGAUCUUCUGGACUAA